This 460-nucleotide ribosomal RNA is filed under the name uncultured bacterium. RNAcentral describes it as "partial 16S ribosomal RNA". It matches the Rfam family "Bacterial small subunit ribosomal RNA", at positions 338 to 795 of the family's 1533-position model. The record is from RNAcentral.
CCUACGGGAGACAGCAGUGAGGAAUAUUGGUCAAUGGCCGUAAGGCUGAACCAGCCAAGUAGCGUGAAGGAAGAAGGAUCUAUGGUUUGUAAACUUCUUUUAUAGGGGAAUAAAGGUAUCCACGUGUGGAUUUUUGCAUGUACCCUAUGAAUAAGCAUCGGCUAACUCCGUGCCAGCAGCCGCGGUAAUACGGAGGAUGCGAGCGUUAUCCGGAUUUAUUGGGUUUAAAGGGUGCGUAGGUGGUUUUUUAAGUCAGUGGUGAAAGUUUGUGGCUCAACCAUAAAAUUGCAGUUGAAACUGGAAGACUUGAGUGUGUUUGAGGUAGGCGGAAUGCGUGGUGUAGCGGUGAAAUGCAUAGAUAUCACGAAGAACUCCGAUUGCGAAGGCAGCUUACUAAACCAUAACUGACACUGAAGCACGAAAGCGUGGGGAUCAAACAGGAUUAGAUACCCCAGUAGUC